CCUACGGGAGGCAGCAGUGAGGAAUAUUGGUCAAUGGGCGAGAGCCUGAACCAGCCAAGUCGCGUGAGGGAGUACUGCCCUAUGGGUUGUAAACCUCUUUUGUCGGGGAGCAAAAGCCGGACGUGUCCGGCUGUGAGAGUACCCGAAGAAAAAGCAUCGGCUAACUCCGUGCCAGCAGCCGCGGUAAUACGGAGGAUGCGAGCGUUAUCCGGAUUUAUUGGGUUGAAAGGGUGCGCAGGCGGAUUUUUAAGUCAGCGGUAAAAUCGUGGGGCUCAACCCCAUCCAGCCGUUGAACCUGGGGAUCUAGAGUGUGCGAGAGGUAUGCGGAAUGCGUGGUGUAGCGGUGAAAUGCAUAGAUAUCACGCAGAACCCCGAUUGCGAAGGCAGCAUACCGGUGCACAACUGACGCUCAGGCACGAAAGCGUGGGUAUCGAACAGGAUUAGAUACCCGGGUAGUC
Molecule: ribosomal RNA, 458 nt
Filed under: uncultured bacterium
Lineage: Bacteria
Description: partial 16S ribosomal RNA
Rfam family: Bacterial small subunit ribosomal RNA
Source: RNAcentral